AGAGUUUGAUCCUGGCUCAGGAUGAACGCUAGCGGCAGGCUUAACACAUGCAAGUCGAGGGGUAUUGGUUUUCGGACCAAGAGACCGGCGCACGGGUGCGUAACGCGUAUGCAAUCUACCUUUUACAGAGGGAUAGCCCAGAGAAAUUUGGAUUAAUACCUCAUAGUAUUACGACUCGGCAUCGAGAUGUAAUUAAAGUCACAACGGUAAAAGAUGAGCAUGCGUCCCAUUAGCUUGUUGGUAAGGUAACGGCUUACCAAGGCAACGAUGGGUAGGGGUCCUGAGAGGGAGAUCCCCCACACUGGUACUGAGACACGGACCAGACUCCUACGGGAGGCAGCAGUGAGGAAUAUUGGUCAAUGGGCGCAAGCCUGAACCAGCCAUGCCGCGUGCAGGAUGAAGCAUCUAUGGUGUGUAAACUGCUUUUGUACGAGAAGAAACACUACUUCGUGAAGUAGCUUGACGGUAUCGUAAGAAUAAGGACCGGCUAACUCCGUGCCAGCAGCCGCGGUAAUACGGAGGGUCCAAGCGUUAUCCGGAAUCAUUGGGUUUAAAGGGUCCGUAGGCGGUUUAGUAAGUCAGUGGUGAAAGCCCAUCGCUCAACGGUGGAACGGCCAUUGAUACUGCUAAACUUGAAUUGUUGGGAAGUAACUAGAAUAUGUAGUGUAGCGGUGAAAUGCUUAGAUAUUACAUGGAAUACCAAUUGCGAAGGCAGGUUACUAUCAAUACAUUGACGCUGAUGGACGAAAGCGUGGGUAGCGAACAGGAUUAGAUACCCUGGUAGUCCACGCCGUAAACGAUGGAUACUAGCUGUUCGGAGCAAUCUGAGUGGCUAAGCGAAAGUGAUAAGUAUCCCACCUGGGGAGUACGUUCGCAAGAAUGAAACUCAAAGGAAUUGACGGGGGCCCGCACAAGCGGUGGAGCAUGUGGUUUAAUUCGAUGAUACGCGAGGAACCUUACCAAGGCUUAAAUGUAGAUUGACCGGUUUGGAAACAGACUUUUCGCAAGACAAUUUACAAGGUGCUGCAUGGUUGUCGUCAGCUCGUGCCGUGAGGUGUCAGGUUAAGUCCUAUAACGAGCGCAACCCCUGUCGUUAGUUGCCAGCGAGUGAUGUCGGGAACUCUAACGAGACUGCCAGUGUAAACUGUGAGGAAGGUGGGGAUGACGUCAAAUCAUCACGGCCCUUACGCCUUGGGCUACACACGUGCUACAAUGGCCGGUACAGAGAGCAGCCACUGGGCGACCAGGAGCGAAUCUAUAAAACCGGUCACAGUUCGGAUCGGAGUCUGCAACUCGACUCCG
RNAcentral lists this ribosomal RNA (1302 nucleotides) under metagenome. RNAcentral describes it as "bacterial SSU rRNA". It matches the Rfam family "Bacterial small subunit ribosomal RNA", at positions 8 to 1320 of the family's 1533-position model. The record is from RNAcentral.